GAUGAACGCUGGCGGCGUGCUUAACACAUGCAAGUCGAACGAUGAAGCCCAGCUUGCUGGGUGGAUUAGUGGCGAACGGGUGAGUAACACGUGAGUAACCUGCCCUUAACUCUGGGAUAAGCCUGGGAAACUGGGUCUAAUACCGGAUAGGAGCGUCCACCGCAUGGUGGGUGUUGGAAAGAUUUAUCGGUUUUGGAUGGACUCGCGGCCUAUCAGCUUGUUGGUGAGGUAAUGGCUCACCAAGGCGACGACGGGUAGCCGGCCUGAGAGGGUGACCGGCCACACUGGGACUGAGACAAGGCCCAGCCUCCUCCGGGAGGCAGCAGUGGGGAAUAUUGCACAAUGGGAGCAAGGCUGAUGCAGCGACGCCGCGUGAGGGAUGACGGCCUUCGGGUUGUAAACCUCUUUCAGUAGGGAAGAAGCGAAAGUGACGGUACCUGCAGAAGAAGCACCGGCUAACUACGUG
RNAcentral lists this ribosomal RNA (466 nucleotides) under uncultured bacterium. RNAcentral describes it as "partial 16S ribosomal RNA". It matches the Rfam family "Bacterial small subunit ribosomal RNA", at positions 28 to 507 of the family's 1533-position model. The record is from RNAcentral.